RNAcentral lists this ribosomal RNA (472 nucleotides) under uncultured Methanosaeta sp. RNAcentral describes it as "bacterial SSU rRNA". It matches the Rfam family "Archaeal small subunit ribosomal RNA", at positions 371 to 843 of the family's 1478-position model. Lineage: Archaea; Methanobacteriati; Methanobacteriota; Methanomicrobia; Methanotrichales; Methanotrichaceae. The record is from RNAcentral.
UAAGGGGACCUCGAGUGCUGGGUUACAAACCUGGCUGUUGGGCUGCCUAAAAAGCAGUUUAUAGCAAGGGCCGGGCAAGACCGGUGCCAGCCGCCGCGGUAACACCGGCGGCUCGAGUGGUAACCGCUGUUAUUGGGUCUAAAGGGUCUGUAGCCGGCCGGAUAAGUCUCUUGGGAAAUCCGGCAUCUCAAGUGUCGGGAUGCCAGGGGAUACUGGUCGGCUUGGGACCGGGAGAGGUGAGAGGUACCUCCCGGGUAGGGGUGAAAUCUUGUAAUCCUUGAGGGACCCCCAGUGGCGAAGGCGUCUCACCAGAACGGAUCCGACGGCAAGGGACGAAAGCCAGGGGCACGAACCGGAUUAGAUACCCGGGUAGUCCUAGCCGUAAACGAUACUGGCUAGGUGUCGGGCACGGUGCGACCGUGCCCGGUGCCGUAGGGAAGCCGUGAAGCGCGCCACCUGGGAAGUACGGCCG